RNAcentral lists this ribosomal RNA (1101 nucleotides) under Triticum aestivum (bread wheat). RNAcentral's name for it is "partial small subunit ribosomal RNA". Lineage: Eukaryota; Viridiplantae; Streptophyta; Magnoliopsida; Poales; Poaceae. The record is from RNAcentral.
AUGGACAUGGUAGGCUAUAAAAUCCAUGGCCACUGGAUGCGUACACCUACUUGGCAUAUGGCGCCGCCAAGCUCCCGCCAAGCAGUCCCGCUGCUUCUGCUUCUCCUGCUGCAGCUCUCUGCCGCCGUCGCGUCCUUCUCCGGCUACAGCUACUACAGCUUCCCGGUGUUCGACGGCAAGGCGACCACCGACGGCGUCGUGGUGGCCACCAACUCCUCCAUGCUGGCACCGGCCACGUUCCUCUUCGACGCGCAGAUCUUCCCGGAGUUCAACCAGUCCGAGGGCUUCGUGCUCCUCUACCGCCCCGUCGCGCUCUGGCGCGUCGCCCCGGACGACGACGACGUCCGCGAGGAGGCGUCCUUCAACACGACCUUCACGGUGGACGUGGACGGCGGCGGCUCAGACGCCGUGUCGUUCGUGGUGCUCCUCGACAGCUUCCCGCCGCUCAACAGCAGGAACGAGAGGCACGGGCCCCGCCGCGGAACGAACGGCUCGGCCUUGCCCGCCGCCUUGCUGAGCGCCACCAACGGCCUCUUUGCCGUUGAGGUCAGCACGGUGAGCUCGUACGGGCCGCGGCCACCGCCCGGCGUCGGCCUGAACGUGACCAUCACGCCCAACCGUUCGUCGUUGGGUGCCGACACCACCCAGCUCGCCAUGCGGAUCGAGUACGACGCCGCCGCGCACCGCCUCUCGGUCUACGCCCAUGACGCGGCUGCCGGCGACCCGCCCGUCAACGACACAGAAGCUCUCCUCGACGCGCCGCUGGACCUCGCCGACCGCCUGCCCACCCAGGCUGCGCUGGUGGGGUUCUUUGCCUCCACGGUCCGGGACCUCGUCGUGGGCGUGCAUGACUGGGAACUGACCGUGGACGCACUCCCCGACGACGCGGACGGCGGGACACGACGUCAAAAGGACGAUCAGAGCACGUCACCGUCGUCGUCGUCGUGGCUGGUGAUACUGCUGGCGGUGCUCGGGUCGGCGGCCGCCGCGGGCUUGGCCGUCUUCUCCGUGAUGGUGUACCUCGUGGUGACCAGGGGCCGGGCGGUGGACAUGCAGGUGCAGCAGUGCUACAAGGACUAUUUCGCGAGGAUGCCACGCUGA